GACGAACGCUGGCGGCGUGCCUAAUACAUGCAAGUCGAACGAACUCUGGUAUUGAUUGGUGCUUGCAUCAUGAUUUACAUUUGAGUGAGUGGCGAACUGGUGAGUAACACGUGGGAAACCUGCCCAGAAGCGGGGGAUAACACCUGGAAACAGAUGCUAAUACCGCAUAACAACUUGGACCGCAUGGUCCGAGCUUGAAAGAUGGCUUCGGCUAUCACUUUUGGAUGGUCCCGCGGCGUAUUAGCUAGAUGGUGGGGUAACGGCUCACCAUGGCAAUGAUACGUAGCCGACCUGAGAGGGUAAUCGGCCACAUUGGGACUGAGACACGGCCCAAACUCCUACGGGAGGCAGCAGUAGGGAAUCUUCCACAAUGGACGAAAGUCUGAUGGAGCAACGCCGCGUGAGUGAAGAAGGGUUUCGGCUCGUAAAACUCUGUUGUUAAAGAAGAACAUAUCUGAGAGUAACUGUUCAGGUAUUGACGGUAUUUAACCAGAAAGCCACGGCUAACUACGUGCCAGCAGCCGCGGUAAUACGUAGGUGGCAAGCGUUGUCCGGAUUUAUUGGGCGUAAAGCGAGCGCAGGCGGUUUUUUAAGUCUGAUGUGAAAGCCUUCGGCUCAACCGAAGAAGUGCAUCGGAAACUGGGAAACUUGAGUGCAGAAGAGGACAGUGGAACUCCAUGUGUAGCGGUGAAAUGCGUAGAUAUAUGGAAGAACACCAGUGGCGAAGGCGGCUGUCUGGUCUGUAACUGACGCUGAGGCUCGAAAGUAUGGGUAGCAAACAGGAUUAGAUACCCUGGUAGUCCAUACCGUAAACGAUGAAUGCUAAGUGUUGGAGGGUUUCCGCCCUUCAGUGCUGCAGCUAACGCAUUAAGCAUUCCGCCUGGGGAGUACGGCCGCAAGGCUGAAACUCAAAGGAAUUGACGGGGGCCCGCACAAGCGGUGGAGCAUGUGGUUUAAUUCGAAGCUACGCGAAGAACCUUACCAGGUCUUGACAUACUAUGCAAAUCUAAGAGAUUAGACGUUCCCUUCGGGGACAUGGAUACAGGUGGUGCAUGGUUGUCGUCAGCUCGUGUCGUGAGAUGUUGGGUUAAGUCCCGCAACGAGCGCAACCCUUAUUAUCAGUUGCCAGCAUUAAGUUGGGCACUCUGGUGAGACUACCGGUGACAAACCGGAGGAAGGUGGGGAUGACGUCAAAUCAUCAUGCCCCUUAUGACCUGGGCUACACACGUGCUACAAUGGAUGGUACAACGAGUUGCGAACUCGCGAGAGUAAGCUAAUCUCUUAAAGCCAUUCUCAGUUCGGAUUGUAGGCUGCAACUCGCCUACAUGAAGUCGGAAUCGCUAGUAAUCGCGGAUCAGCAUGCCGCGGUGAAUACGUUCCCGGGCCUUGUACACACCGCCCGUCACACCAUGAGAGUUUGUAACACCCAAAGUCGGUGGGGUAACCUUUUAGGAACCAGCCGCCUAAGGUGGGACAGAUGAUUAGGGUG
This 1489-nucleotide ribosomal RNA is filed under the name Lactiplantibacillus plantarum. Its description in RNAcentral is "bacterial SSU rRNA". It matches the Rfam family "Bacterial small subunit ribosomal RNA". Lineage: Bacteria; Bacillati; Bacillota; Bacilli; Lactobacillales; Lactobacillaceae. The record is from RNAcentral.